This is a non-coding RNA of Cinara cedri, 217 nucleotides long. NCBI's taxonomy places the organism in Eukaryota, Metazoa, Arthropoda, Insecta, Hemiptera, Aphididae. The record is from the annotation of a GenBank genome assembly.
GGGCUUAUGUAUUUAUUUAUAAAUAUUUCAAUUUUUGCAAGAUCCAUUUUUUAUGUAACUUUAACCCAUUGAUGAGAUAUUCCUUUUUUUAAGUUUGAUAACAGUCCAGUGGGAAAGAGAGGUGAGAGAGCUGUAGAGCAUGCCAAAAUACUCUCCCCCUACUCAUAAACCAUCAAACUUUUAAAUAAAUUGGUGAAUAAAGAAUAUAAACCUCACC